AUACGUAGGGUGCGAGCGUUAAUCGGAAUUACUGGGCGUAAAGCGUGCGCAGGCGGUUUUGUAAGACAGUGGUGAAAUCCCCGGGCUCAACCUGGGAACUGCCAUUGUGACUGCAAGGCUGGAGUGCGGCAGAGGGGGAUGGAAUUCCGCGUGUAGCAGUGAAAUGCGUAGAUAUGCGGAGGAACACCGAUGGCGAAGGCAAUCCCCUGGGCCUGCACUGACGCUCAUGCACGAAAGCGUGGGGAGCAAACAGGAUUAGAUACCCUGGUAGUCCACGCCCUAAACGAUGUCAACUGGUUGUUGGGGAUUUAUUUUCUCAGUAACGAAGCUAACGCGUGAAGUUGACCGCCUGGGGAGUACGGCCGCAAGGUUAAAACUCAAAUGAAUUGACGGGG
Molecule: ribosomal RNA, 395 nt
Filed under: uncultured bacterium
Lineage: Bacteria
Description: partial 16S ribosomal RNA
Rfam family: Bacterial small subunit ribosomal RNA
Source: RNAcentral